Molecule: microRNA, 22 nt
Filed under: Betapolyomavirus macacae
Lineage: Floreoviria; Shotokuvirae; Cossaviricota; Papovaviricetes; Sepolyvirales; Polyomaviridae
Description: sv40-miR-S1-5p
Gene: sv40-miR-S1-5p
Source: miRBase by way of RNAcentral
UGAGGGGCCUGAAAUGAGCCUU